GUGGGGAAUCUUGCGCAAUGGGCGAAAGCCUGACGCAGCCAUGCCGCGUGAAUGAUGAAGGUCUUAGGAUUGUAAAAUUCUUUCACCGGGGACGAUAAUGACGGUACCCGGAGAAGAAGCCCCGGCUAACUUCGUGCCAGCAGCCGCGGUAAUACGAAGGGGGCUAGCGUUGCUCGGAAUUACUGGGCGUAAAGGGCGCGUAGGCGGACAGUUUAGUCAGAGGUGAAAGCCCAGGGCUCAACCGUGGAAUUGCCUUUGAUACUGGCUGUCUUGAGUACGGGAGAGGUGAGUGGAACUCCGAGUGUAGAGGUGAAAUUCGUAGAUAUUCGGAAGAACACCAGUGGCGAAGGCGACUCACUGGCCCGUUACUGACGCUGAGGCGCGAAAGCGUGGGGAGCAAACAGGAUUAGAUACCCUAGUAGUCC
RNAcentral lists this ribosomal RNA (425 nucleotides) under uncultured bacterium. RNAcentral describes it as "partial 16S ribosomal RNA". It matches the Rfam family "Bacterial small subunit ribosomal RNA", at positions 354 to 796 of the family's 1533-position model. The record is from RNAcentral.